AAAUCUUAAGUUUGGGGGUGUGAUAACUCUAUAAUAUAGAGUUAUUUGAGCACAAUUUUGAUAAUAAUUUGGCUUAGUUUUAGUAGUAAUGCAUAAAAAUUAGUAAAUUUUAUUUAAUUAUUUUAAAUUAAUUAUUUUAGGUGAGUCAAUCUAAUCUCAGUUAAUUUUUUGCUUAAUUUGGUGUUAAUGUGGUUAAGAUAUUUUGUUAUUGAUUUAUUUGUGCUUUUGUAGGUGUUUGAAAGAAGAAUUUUAGUGAAAGAAGGAGAGCAAUUUUGAGGUGCAGACUUGCACUGCAUAUGUUUCGGUAUUUUAGCCGUAACUUUCUCUAAAAAGCUCCAAAUGAAGCUAUUCUAAGACUAUUAGAAAGCUAAGAGAAAGAUCUACAACUUCUAUGUUUACCACUUUGCCCAGUUAGGCCUGUAGGAUGGUUGAAAAUCUUGUUAAAGUUGACAUACUGUAGUAGUCCUAGAGCAAUUGCGAUUUCUGUUAAUUAAUUGGGUAACGCUGCGACUUACAUAGUCUGAUAAGGAAAUCUCAGUUGAAAUUGACUUCUUUCUUCACCCAACUUGGCCUAACUUCAAAGCCUAUAAAAACAACCUUUCAGAGGACUUGAGGGGAAAAGAGAAAGAAAACACUAGAUUGUAAGCUGAGAGUCGAGCCACAAAGUCAUUGAAGCUAAGAAGAUUUUAAAGGAUUCAAGAAGACUUGGAAGAUCAAGAUUAUAAUUCUUGAGUUUAUUCUUUUUGAUUAUUCUCUUAUUUUCUUAGUUUGUUUUUAUUGUUUAAACUUUAUUCGAUGAUGAUGUGUGACUUGAUGGGGAACUAAAUUCUUAAUCUAAGAUUAUGAUUGAACUCAAUAUGUAGUCUGAAUUAUUUAUCUCUCUUUUAGUUAUGUUUGAUAGAUUUAAG
RNAcentral lists this long non-coding RNA (908 nucleotides) under Theobroma cacao (cacao). RNAcentral describes it as "long non-coding RNA (TCAC_LNC004971)". The record is from RNAcentral. Lineage: Eukaryota; Viridiplantae; Streptophyta; Magnoliopsida; Malvales; Malvaceae.